UACGGAGGGUGCGAGCGUUAAUCGGAAUUACUGGGCGUAAAGCGCACGCAGGCGGUUUGUUAAGCAAGAUGUGAAAGCCCCGGGCUCAACCUGGGAACUGCAUUUUGAACUGGCAGACUAGAGUCUUGGAGAGGGGGGUGGAAUUCCAGGUGUAGCGGUGAAAUGCGUAGAGAUCUGAGAGACAUCAGCGACGAGCGGCCCCUGGCCAAAGACUGACGCUCAUGUGCGAAAGUGUGGGUAGCGAACAGGAUUAGAUACCCGGUAGUC
This 267-nucleotide ribosomal RNA is filed under the name uncultured bacterium. RNAcentral's name for it is "partial 16S ribosomal RNA". It matches the Rfam family "Bacterial small subunit ribosomal RNA", at positions 524 to 795 of the family's 1533-position model. The record is from RNAcentral.